GGUUAAGCGACUAAGCGUACACGGUGGAUGCCCUGGCAGUCAGAGGCGAUGAAGGACGUGCUAAUCUGCGAUAAGCGUCGGUAAGGUGAUAUGAACCGUUAUAACCGGCGAUUUCCGAAUGGGGAAACCCAGUGUGUUUCGACACACUAUCAUUAACUGAAUCCAUAGGUUAAUGAGGCGAACCGGGGGAACUGAAACAUCUAAGUACCCCGAGGAAAAGAAAUCAACCGAGAUUCCCCCAGUAGCGGCGAGCGAACGGGGAGCAGCCCAGAGCCUGAAUCAGUGUGUGUGUUAGUGGAAGCGUCUGGAAAGGCGCGCGAUACAGGGUGACAGCCCCGUACACAAAAAUGCACAUGCUGUGAGCUCGAUGAGUAGGGCGGGACACGUGGUAUCCUGUCUGAAUAUGGGGGGACCAUCCUCCAAGGCUAAAUACUCCUGACUGACCGAUAGUGAACCAGUACCGUGAGGGAAAGGCGAAAAGAACCCCGGCGAGGGGAGUGAAAAAGAACCUGAAACCGUGUACGUACAAGCAGUGGGAGCACGCUUAGGCGUGUGACUGCGUACCUUUUGUAUAAUGGGUCAGCGACUUAUAUUCUGUAGCAAGGUUAACCGAAUAGGGGAGCCGAAGGGAAACCGAGUCUUAACUGGGCGUUAAGUUGCAGGGUAUAGACCCGAAACCCGGUGAUCUAGCCAUGGGCAGGUUGAAGGUUGGGUAACACUAACUGGAGGACCGAACCGACUAAUGUUGAAAAAUUAGCGGAUGACUUGUGGCUGGGGGUGAAAGGCCAAUCAAACCGGGAGAUAGCUGGUUCUCCCCGAAAGCUAUUUAGGUAGCGCCUCGUGAAUUCAUCUCCGGGGGUAGAGCACUGUUUCGGCAAGGGGGUCAUCCCGACUUACCA
This 899-nucleotide ribosomal RNA is filed under the name Escherichia coli. RNAcentral describes it as "partial 23S ribosomal RNA". It matches the Rfam family "Bacterial large subunit ribosomal RNA", at positions 1 to 941 of the family's 2925-position model. The record is from RNAcentral. Lineage: Bacteria; Pseudomonadati; Pseudomonadota; Gammaproteobacteria; Enterobacterales; Enterobacteriaceae.